CUCUCCUUGGUGUAGUUGGUUUAUCACGUUCGACUGUAAAUCGAAAGGUCCCUAGUUCGAUUCUGGGAGGGGAGA
Molecule: transfer RNA, 75 nt
Filed under: Gaeumannomyces tritici R3-111a-1
Lineage: Eukaryota; Fungi; Ascomycota; Sordariomycetes; Magnaporthales; Magnaporthaceae
Also listed under: 1 other name
Description: tRNA-Tyr (GTA) (tRNA-Tyr-GTA-2-1)
Rfam family: tRNA
About the family: Transfer RNA (tRNA) molecules are approximately 80 nucleotides in length.
Source: RNAcentral